GAUGAACGCUGGCGGCGUGCCUAAUACAUGCAAGUCGAGCGAACAGACGAGGAGCUUGCUCCUCUGACGUUAGCGGCGGACGGGUGAGUAACACGUGGAUAACCUACCUAUAAGACUGGGAUAACUUCGGGAAACCGGAGCUAAUACCGGAUAAUAUAUUGAACCGCAUGGUUCAAUAGUGAAAGACGGUUUUGCUGUCACUUAUAGAUGGAUCCGCGCCGCAUUAGCCAGUUGGUAAGGUAACGGCUUACCAAGGCAACGAGGCGUAGCCGACCUGAGAGGGUGAUCGGCCACACUGGAACUGAGACACGGUCCAGACUCCUACGGGAGGCAGCAGUAGGGAAUCUUCCGCAAUGGGCGAAAGCUUGACGGAGCAACGCCGCGUGAGUGAUGAAGGUCUUCGGAUCGUAAAACUCUGUUAUUAGGGAAGAACAAAUGUGUAAGUAACUAUGCACGUCUUGACGGUACCUAAUCAGAAAGCCACGGCUAACUACGUG
RNAcentral lists this ribosomal RNA (497 nucleotides) under uncultured bacterium. Its description in RNAcentral is "partial 16S ribosomal RNA". It matches the Rfam family "Bacterial small subunit ribosomal RNA", at positions 28 to 507 of the family's 1533-position model. The record is from RNAcentral.